GAUGAACGCUGGCGGCGUGCCUAAUACAUGCAAGUCGAGCGAACAGACGAGGAGCUUGCUCCUCUGAUGUUAGCGGCGGACGGGUGAGUAACACGUGGAUAACCUACCUAUAAGACUGGGAUAACUUCGGGAAACCGGAGCUAAUACCGGAUAACAUGUUGAACCGCAUGGUUCAACAGUGAAAGACGGUCUUGCUGUCACUUAUAGAUGGAUCCGCGCCGCAUUAGCUAGUUGGUAAGGUAACGGCUUAUCAAGGCAACGAUGCGUAGCCGACCUGAGAGGGUGAUCGGCCACACUGGAACUGAGACACGGUCCAGACUCCUACGGGAGGCAGCAGUAGGGAAUCUUCCGCAAUGGGCGAAAGCCUGACGGAGCAACGCCGCGUGAGUGAAGAAGGUCUUCGGAUCGUAAAACUCUGUUAUUAGGGAAGAACAAAUGUGUAAGUAACUAUGCACGUCUUGACGGUACCUAAUCAGAAAGCCACGGCUAACUACGUG
RNAcentral lists this ribosomal RNA (497 nucleotides) under uncultured bacterium. RNAcentral describes it as "partial 16S ribosomal RNA". It matches the Rfam family "Bacterial small subunit ribosomal RNA", at positions 28 to 507 of the family's 1533-position model. The record is from RNAcentral.